RNAcentral lists this ribosomal RNA (412 nucleotides) under uncultured bacterium. Its description in RNAcentral is "bacterial SSU rRNA". It matches the Rfam family "Bacterial small subunit ribosomal RNA", at positions 356 to 766 of the family's 1533-position model. The record is from RNAcentral.
AAGGAAUAUUGGUCAAUGGACGCAAGUCUGAACCAGCCAUGCCGCGUGAAGGAUGAAGGUCCUCUGGAUUGUAAACUUCUUUUAUCUGAGACGAAAACGGGAUUUUUAUCUCAAUUGACGGUACCAGAGGAAUAAGCACCGGCUAACUCCGUGCCAGCAGCCGCGGUAAUACGGAGGGGGAGAGCGUUAUCCGGAUUUACUGGGUUUAAAGGGUGCGUAGGUGGGCUUAUAAGUCAGUGGUGAAAUCUCCGAGCUUAACUUGGAAACUGCCGUUGAUACUAUAGGUCUUGAAUUAUCUGGAGGUAAGCGGAAUAUGUCAUGUAGCGGUGAAAUGCUUAGAUAUGACAUAGAAAACCAAUUGCGAAGGCAGCUUACUACAUAUAAAUUGACGCUGAGGCACGAAAGCGUGGGG